This 253-nucleotide ribosomal RNA is filed under the name uncultured bacterium. RNAcentral's name for it is "partial 16S ribosomal RNA". It matches the Rfam family "Bacterial small subunit ribosomal RNA", at positions 524 to 776 of the family's 1533-position model. The record is from RNAcentral.
GACAGAGGGUGCAAACGUUGUUCGGAUUCAUUGGGCGUAAAGGGCGCGUAGGCGGCGGGGUAAGUCUGGUGUGAAAUCUCGGAGCUCAACUCCGAAAUUGCACUGGAUACUGCUCUGCUAGAGGGCUGGAGAGGAGAUCGGAAUUCACGGUGUAGCAGUGAAAUGCGUAGAUAUCGUGAGGAAGACCAGUGGCGAAGGCGGAUCUCUGGACAGUUCCUGACACUGAGACACGAAGGCCAGGGGAGCAAACGGG